CCCUUAGAUGUUCUGGGCCGCACGCGCGCUACACUGAUGCAUUCAACGAGUCUAAAACCUGCUCUGAUAGGGGUGGGUAAUCUUUUGAAUGUGCAUCGUGAUUGGGAUAGAUGAUUGCAAUUUUUCAUCUUCAACGAGGUAUGCCUAGUAAACGCAAGUCAUCAGCUUGCAUUGAUUACGUCCCUGCCCUUUGUACACACCGCCCGUCGCUCCUACCGAUUGAAUGAUCCGAUGAAUAUCAUGGAUUGAGGAUGCAAGCAGGUUCGCCUGUCUUCAUCUUCGAGAAGUGAAGUAAAUCUUAUCAUUUAGAGGAAGGAGAAGUCGUAACA
RNAcentral lists this ribosomal RNA (329 nucleotides) under uncultured eukaryote. RNAcentral's name for it is "partial 18S ribosomal RNA". It matches the Rfam family "Eukaryotic small subunit ribosomal RNA", at positions 1470 to 1796 of the family's 1831-position model. The record is from RNAcentral.